AGUAGCGGCGAGCGAGCGGGAAGAGCUCAAAUUUAUAAUCUGGCACCUUCGGUGUCCGAGUUGUAAUCUCUAGAAAUGUUUUCCGCGUUGGACCGCACACAAGUCUGUUGGAAUACAGCGGCAUAGUGGUGAGACCCCCGUAUAUGGUGCGGACGCCCAGCGCUUUGUGAUACAUUUUCGAAGAGUCGAGUUGUUUGGGAAUGCAGCUCAAAUUGGGUGGUAAAUUCCAUCUAAAGCUAAAUAUUGGCGAGAGACCGAUAGCGAACAAGUACCGUGAGGGAAAGAUGAAAAGCACUUUGGAAAGAGAGUUAACAGUACGUGAAAUUGUUGGAAGGGAAACGCUUGAAGUCAGACUUGCUUGCCGAGCAAUCGGUUUGCAGGCCAGCAUCAGUUUUCCGGGAUGGAUAAUGGUAGAGAGAAGGUAGCAGUUUCGGCUGUGUUAUAGCUCUCUGCUGGAUACAUCUUGGGGGACUGAGGAACGCAGUGUGCCUUUGGCGGGGGUUUCGACCUCUUCACACUUAGGAUGCUGGUGGAAUGGCUUUAAACGACCCGU
This 553-nucleotide ribosomal RNA is filed under the name Rhodotorula mucilaginosa. RNAcentral's name for it is "partial large subunit ribosomal RNA". It matches the Rfam family "Eukaryotic large subunit ribosomal RNA", at positions 82 to 652 of the family's 3401-position model. The record is from RNAcentral. Lineage: Eukaryota; Fungi; Basidiomycota; Microbotryomycetes; Sporidiobolales; Sporidiobolaceae.